RNAcentral lists this transfer RNA (87 nucleotides) under Acidobacteriota bacterium. RNAcentral describes it as "Acidobacteria bacterium (groundwater metagenome) tRNA-Leu". It matches the Rfam family "tRNA". From Rfam's summary of the family: Transfer RNA (tRNA) molecules are approximately 80 nucleotides in length. Their secondary structure includes four short double-helical elements and three loops (D, anti-codon, and T loops). Lineage: Bacteria; Pseudomonadati; Acidobacteriota. The record is from RNAcentral.
GCGAACGUGGCGGAACUGGCAGACGCACCAGACUUAGGAUCUGGCGCCCGCAAGGGCAUGGGAGUUCGACUCUCCCCGUUCGCACCA